GAGCUCGUAGGCGGUUUGUCGCGUCUGKUGUGAAAAYUCAAGGCUCAACCYYGARYUUGCAUCGGGUACGGGCAGACUAGAGUGCGGUAGGGGWGACUGGAAUUCCUGGUGUAGCGGUGGAAUGCGCAGAUAUCAGGAGGAACACCGAUGGCGAAGGCAGGUCWCUGGGCCGYAACUGACGCUGAGGAGCGAAAGCAUGGGGAGCGAACAGGAUUAGAUACCCUGGUAGUCCAUGCCGUAAACGUUGGGCACUAGGUGUGGGGMYCAUUCCACGRKUUCCGYGCCGCAGCWAACGCAUUAAGUGCCC
This 307-nucleotide ribosomal RNA is filed under the name Cellulomonas sp. RNAcentral's name for it is "partial 16S ribosomal RNA". Lineage: Bacteria; Bacillati; Actinomycetota; Actinomycetes; Micrococcales; Cellulomonadaceae. The record is from RNAcentral.